This 274-nucleotide ribosomal RNA is filed under the name uncultured bacterium. Its description in RNAcentral is "partial 16S ribosomal RNA". It matches the Rfam family "Bacterial small subunit ribosomal RNA", at positions 523 to 796 of the family's 1533-position model. The record is from RNAcentral.
AUACGGAGGGGGCUAGCGUUGUUCGGAUUUACUGGGCGUAAAGGGCGCGUAGGCGGCCCAUAAAGUCAGGCGUGAAAGCCCCGGGCUCAACCUGGGAACUGCGUUUGAAACGUGUGGGCUAGAGUCCGGGAGAGGAUGGUGGAAUUCCCAGUGUAGAGGUGAAAUUCGUAGAUAUUGGGAAGAACACCGGUGGCGAAGGCGGCCAUCUGGACCGGUACUGACGCUAAGGCGCGAAAGCGUGGGGAGCAAACAGGAUUAGAUACCCCGGUAGUCC